CGGGUGCACUGAUCCAGCCGGGCCUUUCCCUCUGUGGAACCCCAUGGCCUUCACUGGCUGUGGUGGGGAAACAGGACUUUUACUUUGAAAAAAUUAGAGUGCUCCAGGCAGGCCUAUGCUCGAAUACAUUAGCAUGGAAUAAUAGAAUAGGACGUGUGGUUCUAUUUUGUUGGUUUCUAGGACCGCCGUAAUGAUUAAUAGGGACAGUCGGGGGCAUCAGUAUUCAAUUGUCAGAGGUGAAAUUCUUGGAUCUAUUGAAGACUAACUACUGCGAAAGCAUUUGCCAAGGAUGUUUUCAUUGAUAAGGAACGAAAGUUAGGGGAUCGAAGACGAUCAGAUACCGUCGUAGUCUUAACUAUAAACUAUGCCGACUAGGGAUCGGACGACGUUAUUCUUUGACGCGUUCGGCACCUUUCGAGAAAUCAAAGUGCUUGGGCUCCAGGGGGAGUAUGGUCGCAAGGCUGAAACUUAAAGAAAUUGACGGAAGGGCACCACCAGGGGUGGAACCUGCGGCUUAAUUUGACUCAACACGGGGAAACUCACCAGGUCCAGACACAGUGGGGAUUGACAGAUUGAGAGCUCUUUCUUGAUUCUGUGGGUGGUGGUGCAUGGGCCGUUCUUAGUUGGUGGAGUGAUUUGUCUGCUUAAUCGCGAUAACGAACGAGACCUUUAACCUGCUAAAUAGCCCGUACUGCUUUGGCAGUUCGCCGGCUUCUUAGAGGGACUAUCGG
This 731-nucleotide ribosomal RNA is filed under the name uncultured eukaryote. Its description in RNAcentral is "SSU rRNA". It matches the Rfam family "Eukaryotic small subunit ribosomal RNA", at positions 670 to 1426 of the family's 1831-position model. The record is from RNAcentral.